RNAcentral lists this unclassified non-coding RNA (482 nucleotides) under Hevea brasiliensis (rubber tree). The record is from RNAcentral. Lineage: Eukaryota; Viridiplantae; Streptophyta; Magnoliopsida; Malpighiales; Euphorbiaceae.
CUGUCCUCCGAAGAUUCAAAACCAGAUUGAUGCGAAGAUCAAUCAGAUUGUUAAGAAAGGUUGGCCUGUUUUGAGAGGUGUUUAGAUGGCUUGCUUAGAGUAGAUUUUUUUGCAAAAUGCUUCAAUUGACAGAGCUCCUUCCCUGAGUGCCCCCUUGCAUGUUAUUAUUUAUAUCUAACUGUCGGGUAUCGCAAGUUACAACUGAUAGAAGCAGACAGAUCUUGGGUACACUUGAACAAGAACAGGAUUAUUCUUUUGUUACUCAAAAUCUCAAAUGAAAUAGUCUUUAGCAUAUCCUUUUUCUUUUUUAGGAGAAAAGCAGUAUUGAAAGUGCAUAAGAGUUGUUUGGAAGGAUUUUUUAUUUUAUGCAGUAUUGUAAUUGAAUUUAUUUGUUCACAUUACAGAUUUUCGUUUGGAUAUCACGAACCUAAAAUAGUUGGUGCAAAUAUGAAUAUUGUCUUGAGAUCAUGCCAUUAAUAAAU